RNAcentral lists this long non-coding RNA (295 nucleotides) under Zonotrichia albicollis (white-throated sparrow). Its description in RNAcentral is "lncRNA (ENSZALG00000016437.1)". Lineage: Eukaryota; Metazoa; Chordata; Aves; Passeriformes; Passerellidae. The record is from RNAcentral.
UGGAAGUGUUGCUGCGCGCGGGCUCUACAUCAGCAGCACUGCUGAUGGCUGUGUGAGUAACCACCUGCAGCAUGCACAGCUCUGCUAAACACCAAGGUGCCACUGGCCAUCCAUCCUCAGGCUGUCCUGAAGGAAUGAAGUCGCACAAGUAGUUUGUUUUUACCGGAGAGGGGAAUUUACCAUUAUGUGGCCAAGUAAGAAAAGACGUUGCUGUACCAUUCAAGCCCUUUUCAAGAUAACAAGGACCACAAGAUUUUCUCUCUAGAUGUCUUUGUUGCAAAUAGAGAUGCUCUGG